AGUCGGUUAUACGGUUGCGGGGCGCCUUUGAACGGCGCCAUGAGGAAAGUCCGAGCAUCGAAGAGCAGGAUGCCUGAUAACGUCAGGUGAAGGCGACUUUAAGGAAAGUGCAACAGAAAUAUACCGCAGCGCAAGCUGUAAGGGUGGAACGGCGAGGCAAGAGCUCACCGCAUCCGUGGUAACACGGGUGGCAAUGUAAACCCCAUCCGAUGCAAGAUUGGGUAUGCGUCACACAGGGCUGCUCGUCCGACGCAUUACCGUGAAUAUCGCUUGAACCUAUCGGCGACGGUAGGGCUAGAUAGAUAACCGUACACGACAGAACUCGGCUUACAGACCGACUCA
RNAcentral lists this RNase P RNA (342 nucleotides) under pig gut metagenome. RNAcentral's name for it is "Bacterial RNase P class A". It matches the Rfam family "Bacterial RNase P class A". From Rfam's summary of the family: Ribonuclease P (RNase P) is a ubiquitous endoribonuclease, found in archaea, bacteria and eukarya as well as chloroplasts and mitochondria. The record is from RNAcentral.